RNAcentral lists this ribosomal RNA (432 nucleotides) under uncultured bacterium. Its description in RNAcentral is "partial 16S ribosomal RNA". It matches the Rfam family "Bacterial small subunit ribosomal RNA", at positions 29 to 507 of the family's 1533-position model. The record is from RNAcentral.
AUGCACGCUGGCGGCAUGCCUAACACAUGCAAGUCGAACGAAGGCUUCGGCCUUAGUGGCGCACGGGUGCGUAACGCGUGGGAAUCUGCCCUUGGGUUCGGAAUAACAGUUAGAAAUGACUGCUAAUACCGGAUGAUGUCGUAAGACCAAAGAUUUAUCGCCCAAGGAUGAGCCCGCGUAGGAUUAGCUAGUUGGUGGGGUAAAGGCCUACCAAGGCGACGAUCCUUAGCUGGUCUGAGAGGAUGAUCAGCCACACUGGGACUGAGACACGGCCCAGACUCCUACGGGAGGCAGCAGUGGGGAAUAUUGGACAAUGGGCGAAAGCCUGAUCCAGCAAUGCCGCGUGAGUGAUGAAGGCCUUAGGGUUGUAAAGCUCUUUUACCCGGGAUGAUAAUGACAGUACCGGGAGAAUAAGCUCCGGCUAACUUCGUG